RNAcentral lists this ribosomal RNA (2165 nucleotides) under Myopa buccata. RNAcentral describes it as "eukaryotic LSU rRNA". It matches the Rfam family "Eukaryotic large subunit ribosomal RNA", at positions 121 to 1909 of the family's 3401-position model. The record is from RNAcentral. Lineage: Eukaryota; Metazoa; Arthropoda; Insecta; Diptera; Conopidae.
UUGUCUUUAUGGCGAAUGUGAGAUGCAGUGUAUGGAACAUCUAUAAUCUAAUAUGAGAAAUUAAUGAUUUAAGUCCUUCUUAAAUGAGGCCAUUUACCCAUAGAGGGUGCCAGGCCCGUGUAACAUUAAUGAUUAUUAGAAGAUGAUUUCCAAAGAGUCGUGUUGCUUGAUAGUGCAGCACUAAGUUGGUGGUAAACUCCAUCUAAAACUAAAUAUAACCAUGAGACCGAUAGUAAACAAGUACCGUGAGGGAAAGUUGAAAAGAACUCUGAAUAGAGAGUUAAAUAGUACGUGAAACUGCUUAGAGGUUAAGCCCGAUGAACCUGAAUAUCCCAUAUGAAAAAUACAACAUUAUAUAUUUAUAAUAUUUUUUAUUAAAUAUUAUAAAAGUAGUGUGCAUUUUUUUCAUAUAAAGGACAUUGUAAUCUAUUAACAAUAAAUACAUUAUUUAUCAAAAAAUUAUAAGCUUAAUGUUUAUUUAAAUUAAUUUUGUAUAUUUAUAUACAUUUUUAACAUAAAAUAAAUGCAUAUAAUUUGAUAAAGUGUUGAUAGAUUUAUAAUAUAUAGUGCUUAAAUUCUUAAAGAAUUUUGUUAUAAUAUUAAUAAUUUUUUUAUUAUAUAUUUAUAACAUGCGCUAAUAUGAUUAACAAUGCGAUAGAUUCAGGAUACCUUCGGGACCCGUCUUGAAACACGGACCAAGGAGUCUAACAUAUGUGCAAGUCAUUGGGAUUAAUUUAAUUUUUAAACCCAAAGGCGUAAUUAACUUAAAUUUUUUAUUAUAUUUUAUAUAUAAUAAAAUAAUGGGAUUAGUUUUUAAAUCUAUAUUUACUAUAGUUUAUUAAUUCAAUCCCGGGGCGUUCUAUAUGGUUAUGUUAUAAUAAUAUUUAUAUUAUUUAUAUACCUCUAACUGGAGCGUACCUUGAGCAAAUAUGCUGUGACCCGAAAGAUGGUGAACUAUACUUGAUCAGGUUGAAGUCAGGGGAAACCCUGAUGGAAGACCGAAACAGUUCUGACGUGCAAAUCGAUUGUCAGAAUUGAGUAUAGGGGCGUAAGACUAAUCGAACCAUCUAGUAGCUGGUUCCCUCCGAAGUUUCCCUCAGGAUAGCUGGUGCAUUUAAUAAUUAUGUAAAAUAAUCCUAUCUGGUAAAGCGAAUGAUUAGAGGCCUUAGGGUCGAAACGAUCUUAACCUAUUCUCAAACUUUAAAUGGGUAAGAACCUCACCUUUCUUGAUAUGAAGGUUGAGGUUGUGAUAUAAUGUGCCCAGUGGGCCACUUUUGGUAAGCAGAACUGGCGCUGUGGGAUGAACCAAACGUAAUGUUACGGUGCCCAAAUUAACAACUCAUACAGAUACCAUGAAAGGGGUUGGUUGCUUAAAACAGCAGGACGGUGGACAUGGAAGUCGUAAUCCGCUAAGGAGUGUGUAACAACUCACCUGCCGAAGCAACUAGCCCUUAAAAUGGAUGGCGCUUAAGUUGUAUACCUAUACAUUACCGCUAAAGUAAAUGAUUUAUAUUCAAUUUCGGGGGAAUUUUAAAUUUUGAAACUUUAGUGAGUAGGAGGGUACAAUGGUGUGCACAGAAGUGUUUGGCGAAAGCCUGCAUGGAGCCCCCAUUGGCACAGAUCUUGGUGGUAGUAGCAAAUAAUCGAAUGAGACCUUGGAGGACUGAAGUGGAGAAGGGUUUCGUGUGAACAGUGGUUGAUCACGAGUUAGUCGGUCCUAAGUUCAAGGCGAAAGCCGAAAAUUUUCCAGUUAUAAUUAAAAUAUAAAAAAUAUAUAAUAUAUUUAUAUAUAUAUUUAAACACUGGACUUUUUUUUGAACGAAAGGGAAUACGGUUCCAAUUCCGUAACCUGUUGAGUAUCCGUUUGUUAUUAAAAAUGGGCCUUGUGCUCAUCCUGGUAACAGGAACGACCAUAAAGAAGCCGUCGAGAGAUAUCGGAAGAGUUUUCUUUUCUGUUUUAUAGUCGUACUACCAUGGAAGUCUUUCGAAGAGAGAUAUGGUAGAUGGACUAGAAGAGCAUGACAUUUACUGUUGUGUCGAUAUUUUCUCCUCGGACCUUGAAAAUUUAUGGUGGGGUCACGCAAACUUCUCAACAGGCCGUACCGAUAUCCGCAGCUGGUCUCCAAGGUGAAGAGUCUCUAGUCGAUAGAAUAAUGUAGGUAAGG